RNAcentral lists this ribosomal RNA (253 nucleotides) under uncultured bacterium. Its description in RNAcentral is "partial 16S ribosomal RNA". It matches the Rfam family "Bacterial small subunit ribosomal RNA", at positions 524 to 776 of the family's 1533-position model. The record is from RNAcentral.
AACGUAGGAGGCAAGCGUUAUCCGGAGUUACUGGGCGUAAAGCGCGUGUAGGUGGAUAGGUAAGUUACUUAUAAAAGCUCCUGGCUAAACUAGGAGAGGUUGAGUGAUACUGCCAGUCUUGAAUAGAGGAGAGGUUGACGGAAUUCCGCGUGUAGUGGUGAAAUGCGUAGAGAUGCGGAAGAACACCAGUGGCGAAGGCGGUCAACUGGCCUCAUAUUGACACUCAGACGCGAAGGCAUGGGUAGCGAACGGG